CUACGGGAUGCACCAGUGGGGAAUCUUGGACAAUGGGCGCAAGCCUGAUCCAGCCAUGCCGCGUGAGUGAAGAAGGCCUUAGGGUCGUAAAGCUCUUUCGCCAGAGAUGAUAAUGACAGUAUCUGGUAAAGAAACCCCGGCUAACUCCGUGCCAGCAGCCGCGGUAAUAAGGAGGGGGUUAGCGUUGUUCGGAAUUACUGGGCGUAAAGCGCGCGUAGGCGGAUUAGUCAGUCAGAGGUGAAAUCCCAGGGCUCAACCCUGGAACUGCCUUUGAUACUGCUAGUCUUGAGUUCGAGAGAGGUGAGUGGAAUUCCGAGUGUAGAGGUGAAAUUCGUAGAUAUUCGGAGGAACACCAGUGGCGAAGGCGGCUCACUGGCGCGAUACUGACGCUGAGGUGCGAAAGUGUGGGGAGCAAACAGGAUUAGAUACCCGAGUGGUC
Molecule: ribosomal RNA, 439 nt
Filed under: uncultured bacterium
Lineage: Bacteria
Description: partial 16S ribosomal RNA
Rfam family: Bacterial small subunit ribosomal RNA
Source: RNAcentral